ACGGGAGGCAGCAGUGGGGAAUAUUGCACAAUGGGGGAAACCCUGAUGCAGCGACGCCGCGUGAGUGAAGAAGUAUCUCGGUAUGUAAAGCUCUAUCAGCAGGGAAGAAAAUGACGGUACCUGAUGAAUAAGCCACGGCUAACUACGUGCCAGCAGCCGCGGUAAUACGUAGGUGGCAAGCGUUAUCCGGAUUUACUGGGUGUAAAGGGCGCGUAGGCGGGGAUGCAAGUCAGAUGUGAAAUCCAUGGGCUCAACCCAUGAACUGCAUCUGAAACUGUAUCUCUUGAGUGUCGGAGAGGUAGACGGAAUUCCUAGUGUAGCGGUGAAAUGCGUAGAUAUUAGGAGGAACACCAGUGGCGAAGGCGGUCUACUGGACGAUAACUGACGCUGAGGCGCGAAAGCGUGGGGAGCAAACAGGAUUAGAUACCCUGGUA
This 434-nucleotide ribosomal RNA is filed under the name uncultured Oscillospiraceae bacterium. RNAcentral's name for it is "bacterial SSU rRNA". It matches the Rfam family "Bacterial small subunit ribosomal RNA", at positions 341 to 792 of the family's 1533-position model. The record is from RNAcentral. Lineage: Bacteria; Bacillati; Bacillota; Clostridia; Eubacteriales; Oscillospiraceae.